AUGUACAGAUCUACCUCUAUUUUCAUUUGACAGGAAGAAUCUGUUACAGUGGCCACACAUAGUGGGAUAGCGCUUCUGGAACAAGAGCCUGAACACAGUAGCCUCAGGACAAAUGGGGCUUGAGAUUUGGAAAGGGACUCCUUGUGGAAAGGAUUGUGUCUUUCAGUAUAGUGAGAGGAAGCCUGCAUCAGGGUGGCUGGAAACAUUCAGAUCCUUUGUUGGCAGGACUUCUGCAGACUGUAGACAGAGCUAAGGGCUGUGGCUUAGCCCCUUGUGUGUCCAAUGCUGCCCGCUGUAGAGGAGCCCAGGGAUGGGCACUGGAGCCCGCACCAUCAUCUGAUGGCCUGUGUGGAGGUACAUCUGCGUUCUCUAGGGAUACCCUGGAUGCUGUGCAUAUCAAAGCCUCUGCUCUGGGACUUCCCUGGUGGUCCAGUGGUUGGGACUCCACGCUGCCACUGCAGGGAGCCUGGGUUUGAUCUUUGGUCAGGGAACUAAGAUCCCACAAGCCACGUGGCACUGCCAGAAAAAAGGCCUCUGCUCUCACAAGCAGCCUACCACCUGAGUUGUCCAGUUGGGAGCUGGUAGAGGUCUGGCAGCCAGUGCUUUGGCGAGAGCAGCUGUCUAAUCAGAAGCUUCAGGGAAUUUUAUCCGCAAAAACUUCCACCUUCUCGAGAAAGACUGUCCUGAUCCAUCAAGAUGGUCCCAUCACCCUCCGAUCUCUGGCACCUGAGAACAAGGGACCAGAAUCUGGAUGUCUUCAAGACAUUCUCCUGAGACUUGAAGGCAGCUCUGGUCCCGGUGGCAGCCAUCCAUGGUACCACCUGAUGACCAUCUUUAGAGUGGACAGAGAAACAAGCGAAAACAUGUAGCAGCCAGAAUGGAGGAGCCCUAACUAAGACACAGAUCCUGGACCGGGUUGGGGGUUUUAUGCUUUCACAGAUGCUACAGUUGAGGCCCUCCUUCUGAAAGUCGCUGGGCCCACGCUGGAGGCCUCAGGCAACUGCUUGUGCUGUAAGGCAGUUCUCAACAAGCCCUAGCUGCAUCUGAGGGUGGAGAGCAAACUCCUAUUUGGGAGGAAUCCCGUGCUUCCACCAAACAGCAUGUGGAGUUAAAAUAAUGAUGUUUUGGUUAUGUAGAGCCAGUGGCCAUUCUCCCAAACGUACAUAAACAUAAACACACAUGUAAACACACUCACAUCAGCAUUAUUUUAACCUAAUUGAUUUUAAUGAAUUGCUGGUAUAGUUAUUCUCAUUCCCAAUUCUAUAUAGGCUUACUUGUCUUCAUCUAGUCCACAUAUCUGAGUUUCAUAAACCUGGGUGGGAAAAGAAUACAGUAAAGUUGGUAAUUUGUGUAUUUUUUUUUAAUUUUUGAAUUGUCACGAGACCAAACUAAACUGAAAUGUUGGUGUGGUAGUAUUUUUCAUCCAAAUCAUUCCUUUCAAACACAGCUGUGUCAUCCAUCAUCUAAGUUGCUGCCUUCUUUUUUCUUUUUUUUUAAACACACCGUUUUUUAAAUGUAAGUUGGUACUUCAGCUCUGUGUUUUGUUUUCAUAUUAUGUAUAACGAUGUCUAUCUUGGAUGCUGUGGGGCUAUCAUUGUACUUCCCACCUUAUUUGAAUUGUCUUUUUCUUCUCACAAGUUGUGUCAUGCCCUUCCUUUCUAUAUUUUCUGACAUUCCCAGACUAGCGAAGGAGUAACCAGCUAAAGAUGGUUAGUUCCCUUUCCCUUAAACCAUUAAAGUUAUGUCUCAUUUCCCUUUUGGGGAUUCUGUCAGGGAACAUUGCUUUAGAGUACAUUGUAUUUGUGUGAGAUGGGCUCCCCUCAGCCGAGCAUUCAGUGAUGUUGGGCAUGUGUUGUUGGAAUUCAUGGAGAGAACAUGACCUGGAUUGACCUGGGAGAUGGACCCAGGUAAUGGAACCACCUCAAACCACCCCCCGAGCCUUGUCCUUGGAAUGUGCAUUCUGCUUGGUUUCACCAAGAAGUAAGCUUAACAAGGACACAAUUUUGAGAUAGCAAGGUGUUGUUGACACCUUUGGACAGUAUAGCUGACUGAACCCUUAAUGCCUCUAUUUAACCUUUUUUAAGGUUCUGGCAUACAGGUGGGAAACCUAAUCGUUUUGUGGCUGCCCAAGACAAGCUUCAGAAGUAAGUUCCCUUGCUUGUUAAACAUGCUACCUACCCUAGUGUGGUCUACCCCUUUCUUCAGACUGUUGUUACAUGUGAGUAAUGGGGUGGGUUUCAGAUUACACCCAGGAAGCUGUCAAGAAGUUGGGACUCAAGACCGUGAUGUGUGGGUAGACCCUGGACUUAUCCAUUCACCCUUAGUAUUCAAAGUAUCAUGAUCUCACCCUCAAAAGAAGGAAAUGACUUAGGCAUGGAAUGAAGUGGAUUUCUGGAGAUGCUGAGGGAUAUGUGCAGUGUACACAAGGAAGCUAACCUCUUCAUUUUGGAAAGAACACACCCAAACCUAAUCCUGAGGAACCCAGAGUGAUGGACUGCAACCGAAAGCAAACUGUUUGAGUAUGUGAAAACUAGAGAGCCCUGAAACAAAAUUGUACUGGCGAAAGGAUGAUGGCACCUUCAGAAGUACGUGGUAGCCUCUGAACUUGCCUUUCAUUUAAUUUCCACUUGCUUCGUGGGAUUCCUUCAAGGUCAUAAAUUUUGAAUGAGGGUUUACCGUAGGAAGCUGUUGAAAUAAAUAGGGGUGAGGCAUCCUUGUACUUGUAUAAGUCCUGUGCUUCCACGAACUGAACAAUUGGCCAGCAGUUUCUGUGCAGUCCAGGUGGCUCUCCCAACAUGGAUUCAUCAGCACAUCAAGCGAAGGGCUGGUGGUGUCCUGGAGUUUGAUACAGUUCAGGAAAUCCAAGAUGUCUAUGGUGCAGGAACGUGUCUGAAACCACAUUCCACCAUGGCCAUCUGGCUCCAGUUGGAAUGCCUGAAACACAGUUUUAUAUCUUUUCAUAACAAGGGACAAACGUCAGAUAUGGAGUACGUCACUUCAAGGUUUCAAGAGAGAAAGUUUAGCACGUACACAGCUAGGCAGCAUGAUCUCACUGUCUGGAAAGAGAAACUCAUCCUCCAAGGAGAACCAGCCUGGGCAUCAUCAGAAGGGGGACAUUUGCCCUUAUCUUGAAAGCGACUCCCAAGAGGACUGAAGAAGGAGACUUGUUUUGAAGCCAUGUCAAAGGAUGCUGUGCAAGCACUGCUUCAGAAGAACCCUUACCCUCGUGUAGCUACCAGAGAACAGCUGGCCUGAGACCUUGGCAUUCUAGAAAGCAGAGUUCAGAUGCUGUGGAGGCGUCAUGAAUAGUUGUCACCAUGCGGACUAGCCUCUUGUCUUUCCAUAUAAGAAGAAUCACUUCUCCCUUCCGUAAGAAUGUCAUUCCCCUCCCCCUGCAUAGAUUUUUAGAUUUCUUCUUUAAUUGGUUUGGUAGACGAUGAUUCUCUCUUACAUUCCCACAAACUCUGGUUUUAUUUUUCAACAAUAUUUCAGAUGUGGACACACCAUUGUAAUAAUUGUCUUGGUAAAUAUGGUGCCAUGAACCAAGAUAAGGUUGUAGGACUGAUAAUAUUGUUUCUUGCAGUUUCUUUCCUUCACCUGUGUAAAUCUCAAGGUUGCAUAUAUAUCCAGUUUCACGUUAGCUAACCAUCCUGACCAAAAUUCCAUAUUUUGUGAGUUUUCCCAGAUUACAGGUUUUGAAUCUGAGUCAUCCUCUCCACUUUAUCAUUGCCUCAUCAAGUGAUAACUCUUGUUUGGGUAUAUAGAUUGAUUGAAAUUCUGGUAGAAAAUAAUCCAAAAGAGGUUUAACUUUUGAAAUUCUGUCUGCAGGAAGUGGAGUUUCCAAGUUAUUGUUAAAGUGAAGAAAUGUCAUUAUUUGUUUGAACCUUCUUCUCGUCAUAAUCUUUGGAAAGAUAGGUGUUUCAAGUAAGGGAUCAGUCGACCAAUAUCCUUUCCAGUGUGACUUUCUUAUUUGUGCCAUCAAAAUUAUUAAUCCAAGAAACUUCUUCAUGUCACUGUUGGUUAUAGCAGUCCAUUUUAAAACCUUAUCAUACUUUUUAUAUGAUUUUUCAUUUUGUUGGUGAUACAAGUUUGAGAAGUGACCAACUCGAACAGGUUACUAAAAAUUAAUUCUGUUAUUUCACUAACACUUUGCUGGUUAUUACAUUCAGCAGUUACACCCGACACACCUGUAAAGUCUUCUAAUUUUCCUGAAAUGUUGUCUUCAAUCCACUCUUCUGUAGAAGCAAAGGAGCAUUCUCCAGCACUAAACUACAUGUAUUGUAUUUAUGAUAUUAAUCAAGGUAAAAAAUUUAACUCUGAAAUUUUAAAUCUCCAUAAAAAUAACUUCAGACUGAAAUGGCUUUUUGAAUUUGCAAAUAAAUAACACAAUCUUGAAAAAUCAUCAUGAAACAAUGCUCAACUCAUCUUACGAAAAUAGGACAGUCUCCAACCCCAAACCUGGAAAGAUUACAACAAAGGAUGGCUACAGAAUACACACAGAAAAACUCAGAAAAACUCAGUGAUUAUAAAAACUGAAUACAUUCUGAUCAAGGAUGAUGUAUUUCAGAAAUACGAGAUUGGUUUAAUCAAGACUACUCACCAGUACGAACAGAAUAAGUAGGAGAAGCCAUAUGAUUUAUCUCAUACAGAGAUAGAUAGCAUUUGACAAAACUGAAUUCAUGUUUUUUUUUAAAAAACUCGAGGACUAGAAGAGAACGUCCUUAAAAUGAUAAAGGGCAUUUACAGAAAUCCUUAACAUCAAAAUUAAUGGUAACAUACUGAACAGUAUCUCCCUGAGGUCAGAACUUCUGUACGACACUCUACGGGCUAGGAAUGCCUGUACAAAAGGCAAAAAAGUCUGUAUUCAUAAAUGACAGAAUUGUUUACAUAGAAAAUUUUUACAAAUCUACAAAACAACUACCAGAAAAAGUGAAUUCAUCAGCAAGGUUGCAGGAUACAAGGUAAAUGUGCAAGCAUAAAGUUUUUCUAUAUACUAUUUGUACUGUUUUUUCUAUAAUUGUUUAAUGCUAGUAUAAAGACAAAAAUAAUAUAAAAUAUUUAGGAAUAUAUUUAAAGAAAAAUCAGCAAAACUGCUCAACUGAGAAUUUAAAGACCUAAGUAGAGGUAUACCCUGGUCAAGAUGUCAGUUCUCCCCCAAAUGAGUGAUGCAAUCCCAAAUAACGUCCUAACAGGUGUGUCUGUAUUUAUGGAAAUUAAAUUUUAGAAUCACCUUGUUAAUGAAAAUACAAAAGACCUAUAACAGUAUAGAAUUGUCCAGAAUGUCUAAAAACAUAGAUAUCAUUUUAAUACAUUGUGUAGACUAAAGAUGUUCUUGGCAACAUUCAUGCUGUAGAAUACCCAAGAAUCUUGAAGAAAACAGCAAACCUAGAAGGUUAACUCUGCCAGAUGUCAAGACUUAUAAUAUUAUAAUAAAAGACA
Orcinus orca (killer whale) is the source of this 5439-nucleotide long non-coding RNA. RefSeq lists it as uncharacterized. Lineage: Eukaryota; Metazoa; Chordata; Mammalia; Artiodactyla; Delphinidae. The transcript is spliced from 5 exons. The record is from RefSeq and is a predicted model, not a curated record.